Molecule: ribosomal RNA, 403 nt
Filed under: uncultured bacterium
Lineage: Bacteria
Description: partial 16S ribosomal RNA
Rfam family: Bacterial small subunit ribosomal RNA
Source: RNAcentral
AUUGAACGCUGGCGGCAGGCCUAACACAUGCAAGUCGAGCGAGCGGCGGGCGGGGGAGUAAUGUAUGGGGACUGCCCGAUAGAGGGGGAUAACAACUGGAAACGAUAGCUAAUACCGCAUACUAUCGGAUAACCCAUAUGGGAUUAGCUAGUAGGUGGGGAAAUGGCUCACAUAGGCGACGAUCCCUAGCUGGUCUGAGAGGAUGAUCAGCCACACUGGGACUGAGCCACGGCCCAGACUCCUCCGGAGGCAGCAGUGGGGAAUAUUGGACAAUGGGCGCAAGCCUGCUGCAGCCAUGCGGCGUGUAGGAAGAAGGCCCUAGGGUUGUAAAGUACUUUCAGUCGGGAGGCGUUACCGAAAGAAGAAGCAACGGCUAACUCCGUGCCAGCAGCCGCGGUAAUUC